GCGGUCCGGCCGGGAACUCAAAGGAGACUGCCAGUGAUAAACUGGAGGAAGGUGGGGAUGACGUCAAGUCAUCAUGGCCCUUACGACCAGGGCUACACACGUGCUACAAUGGCGCAUACAAAGAGAAGCGACCUCGCGAGAGCAAGCGGACCUCAUAAAGUGCGUCGUAGUCCGGAUUGGAGUCUGCAACUCGACUCCAUGAAGUCGGAAUCGCUAGUAAUCGUGGAUCAGAAUGCCACGGUGAAUACGUUCCCGGGCCUUGUACACACCGCCCGUCACACCAUGGGAGUGGGUUGCAAAAGAAGUAGGUAGCUUAACCUUCGGGAGGGCGCUUACCACUUUGUGAUUCAUGACUGGGGUGAAGUCGUAACAAGGUAACCGUAGGGGAACCUGCGGUUGGA
Molecule: ribosomal RNA, 401 nt
Filed under: Escherichia coli
Lineage: Bacteria; Pseudomonadati; Pseudomonadota; Gammaproteobacteria; Enterobacterales; Enterobacteriaceae
Description: bacterial SSU rRNA
Rfam family: Bacterial small subunit ribosomal RNA
Source: RNAcentral